RNAcentral lists this ribosomal RNA (253 nucleotides) under uncultured bacterium. RNAcentral describes it as "partial 16S ribosomal RNA". It matches the Rfam family "Bacterial small subunit ribosomal RNA", at positions 524 to 776 of the family's 1533-position model. The record is from RNAcentral.
UACGAAGGGUGCAAGCGUUACUCGGAAUUACUGGGCGUAAAGCGUGCGUAGGUGGUGAGUUAAGUCUGAUGUGAAAUCCCCGGGCUCAACCUGGGAAUGGCAUUGGAUACUGGCUCGCUGGAGUGCGGUAGAGGGUGGUGGAAUUCCCGGUGUAGCAGUGAAAUGCGUAGAGAUCGGGAGGAACAUCUGUGGCGAAGGCGCACAUCUGGCCCGAUACUGACGCUGAGGCGCGAAAGCGUGGGGAGCAAACGGG